GACGAACCGUGCGAACGUUGUUCGGAAUCACUGGGCUUAAAGGGCGCGUAGGCGGGCGGUCAAGUCAGAGGUGAAAUCCCACGGCUCAACCGUGGAAGUGCCCCUGAUACUGACUGUCUCGAGGGAGGUAGGGGCGUGCGGAACUUCCGGUGGAGCGGUGAAAUGCGUAGAUAUCGGAAGGAACACCGAUGGCGAAAGCAGCGCGCUGGACCUCUACUGGCGCUGAGGCGCGAAAGCCAGGGGAGCAAACGGG
This 253-nucleotide ribosomal RNA is filed under the name uncultured bacterium. RNAcentral's name for it is "partial 16S ribosomal RNA". It matches the Rfam family "Bacterial small subunit ribosomal RNA", at positions 524 to 776 of the family's 1533-position model. The record is from RNAcentral.